Molecule: ribosomal RNA, 700 nt
Filed under: uncultured Bacillus sp.
Lineage: Bacteria; Bacillati; Bacillota; Bacilli; Caryophanales; Bacillaceae
Description: bacterial SSU rRNA
Rfam family: Bacterial small subunit ribosomal RNA
Source: RNAcentral
AGUUUGAUCAUGGCUCAGGACGAACGCUGGCGGCGUGCCUAAUACAUGCAAGUCGAGCGAAUCAAUAGGAGCUUGCUCCUGUUGGUUAGCGGCGGACGGGUGAGUAACACGUGGGCAACCUGCCUGUAAGACUGGGAUAACACCGGGAAACCGGUGCUAAUACGGGAUAAUCCUUUUCCUCACAUGAGGGAAAGCUGAAAGUCGGUUUCGGCUGACACUUACAGAUGGGCCCGCGGCGCAUUAGCUAGUUGGUGAGGUAACGGCUCACCAAGGCGACGAUGCGUAGCCGACCUGAGAGGGUGAUCGGCCACACUGGGACUGAGACACGGCCCAGACUCCUACGGGAGGCAGCAGUAGGGAAUCUUCCACAAUGGGACGAAAGUCUGAUGGAGCAACGCCGCGUGAGCGAUGAAGGCCUUCGGGUCGUAAAGCUCUGUUGUUAGGGAAGAACAAGUACCGGAGUAACUGCCGGUACCUUGACGGUACUAACCAGAAAGCCACGGCUAACUACGUGCCAGCAGCCGCGGUUAUACGUAGGUGGCAAGCGUUGUCCGGAAUUAUGGGCGUAAAGCGCGCGCAGGCGGUCUUUUAGUCUGAUGUGAAAGCCCACGGCUCAACCGUGGAGGGUCAUUGGAAACUGGGGGGACUUGAGUGCAGAAGAGGAAGCGGAAUUCCACGUGUAGCGGUGAAAUGCGUAGAG